RNAcentral lists this ribosomal RNA (346 nucleotides) under uncultured bacterium. Its description in RNAcentral is "partial 16S ribosomal RNA". It matches the Rfam family "Bacterial small subunit ribosomal RNA", at positions 338 to 681 of the family's 1533-position model. The record is from RNAcentral.
CCUACGGGAGGCAGCAGUGAGGAAUAUUGGUCAAUGGACGAGAGUCUGAACCAGCCAAGUAGCGUGAAGGAUGACUGCCCUAUGGGUUGUAAACUUCUUUUAUAGGGGAAUAAAAUGGUCCACGUGUGGGAUUUUGUAUGGACCAUAUGAAUAAGGAUCGGCUAACUCCGUGCCAGCAGCCGCGGUAAUACGGAGGAUCCGCGCGUUAUCCGGCUUUAUUGGGUUUCAAGGGAGCGUAGGUGGAUUGUUACGUCCGUUGUGAAAGUUUGCGGCUCCACCGUAAAAUUGCAGUUGAAACUGGCAGUCUUGAGUACAGUAGAGGUGGGCGGAAUUCGUGGUGUAGCGG